CUUUGGUUGAGGAUGUGAAGAAGGAAGAAGAAAAUAAGGAAUCGGCAGGGGAGGCUAGUGACAAUGAACCAAAUUCUGAAGCAGCAGAACAAAAAGAAAACUUAGGUGAUUUGAGUGAUGCACCGGUCGAAGAUGUGAAAGUGGAAGAAGAAAAUAAGGUUGUGGCUACUGAAAAGGAACCAGAAUCUGAAGCAGUAGAGCAAAAAGAAAGUUCGGUUGAUUCUAGUGAUGUUGUUGUCGAGGACGUGAAAAAAGAAGAAGAAAAUAGGGAACCGGAAGGUGUGG
This 285-nucleotide unclassified non-coding RNA is filed under the name Hevea brasiliensis (rubber tree). Lineage: Eukaryota; Viridiplantae; Streptophyta; Magnoliopsida; Malpighiales; Euphorbiaceae. The record is from RNAcentral.